AAAUUAGAGGAAGUAAAAGUCGUAACAAGGUCUCCGUUGGUGAACCAGCGGAGGGAUCAUUACCGAGUUUACAACUCCCAAACCCAUGUGAACAUACCUAUUGUUGCUUCGGCGGGAUUGCCCCGGGCGCCUCGUGUGCCCCGGAUCAGGCGCCCGCCUAGGAAACUCAACUCUUGUUUUAUUUUGGAAUCUUCUGAGUAGUUUUUACAAAUAAAUAAAAACUUUCAACAACGGAUCUCUUGGUUCUGGCAUCGAUGAAGAACGCAGCGAAAUGCGAUAAGUAAUGUGAAUUGCAGAAUUCAGUGAAUCAUCGAAUCUUUGAACGCACAUUGCGCCCGCCAGUAUUCUGGCGGGCAUGCCUGUCUGAGCGUCAUUUCAACCCUCAUGCCCCUAGGGCGUGGUGUUGGGGAUCGGCCAAAGCCCGCGAGGGACGGCCGGCCCCUAAAUCUAGUGGCGGACCCGUCGUGGCCUCCUCUGCGAAGUAGUGAUAUUCCGCAUCGGAGAGCGACGAGCCCCUGCCGUUAAACCCCCAACUUUCUAAGGUUGACCUCAGAUCAGGUAGGAAUACCCGCUGAACUUAAGCAUAUCAAUAAGCCGGAGGAAC
Molecule: ribosomal RNA, 604 nt
Filed under: Clonostachys sp. OTU004 AN-2016
Lineage: Eukaryota; Fungi; Ascomycota; Sordariomycetes; Hypocreales; Bionectriaceae
Description: eukaryotic LSU rRNA
Rfam family: 5.8S ribosomal RNA (bases 220-373)
Source: RNAcentral